UCCCUGGUGGCUCAGAUGGUAAAGUGUCUGCCUACAAUACGGGAGACCCAGGUUCAAUCCCUGGGUUGGGAA
Molecule: transfer RNA, 72 nt
Filed under: Bos taurus (domestic cattle)
Lineage: Eukaryota; Metazoa; Chordata; Mammalia; Artiodactyla; Bovidae
Also listed under: 2 other names
Rfam family: tRNA
About the family: Transfer RNA (tRNA) molecules are approximately 80 nucleotides in length.
Source: Rfam by way of RNAcentral